GGUUCAGGAUGAACGCUGGCGGCGUGCUUAACACAUGCAAGUCGAACGAAGUUAAGGAGCUUGCUUUAACUUAGUGGCGGACGGGUGAGUAACGCGUGGGUAACCUGCCUUUCACAGGGGGAUAACAGUUAGAAAUGACUGCUAAUACCGCAUAAGCGCACAGGACGGCAUCGUCUAGUGUGAAAAAACUCCGGUGGUGAAAGAUGGACCCGCGUCUGAUUAGCUAGUUGGUGAGGUAACGGCUCACCAAGGCGACGAUCAGUAGCCGGCCUGAGAGGGUGAACGGCCACAUUGGGACUGAGACACGGCCCAAACUCCUACGGGAGGCAGCAGUGGGGAAUAUUGCACAAUGGGGGAAACCCUGAUGCCAGCGACGCCGCGUGAGUGAAGAAGUAUUUCGGUAUGUAAAGCUCUAUCAGCAGGGAAGAAAAUGACGGUACCUGACUAAGAAGCCCCGGCUAACUACGUGCCAGCCGCUGC
Molecule: ribosomal RNA, 480 nt
Filed under: uncultured bacterium
Lineage: Bacteria
Description: bacterial SSU rRNA
Rfam family: Bacterial small subunit ribosomal RNA
Source: RNAcentral